RNAcentral lists this ribosomal RNA (223 nucleotides) under uncultured bacterium. Its description in RNAcentral is "partial 16S ribosomal RNA". It matches the Rfam family "Bacterial small subunit ribosomal RNA", at positions 524 to 748 of the family's 1533-position model. The record is from RNAcentral.
UACGUAGGGUCCGAGCGUUGUCCGGAGUUACUGGGCGUAAAGGGCGCGCAGGUGGCGGUGUUGGCCCGGCGUGAAAGCCCCCGGCUCAACCGGGGAGGGUCGUCGGGGACCGCACCGCUUGAGGGCGGUAGGGCUGGUGGAAUGCCUGGUGUAGUGGUGAAAUGCGUAGAGAUCAGGCGGAACACCGUAGCGAAGGCGGCCAGCUGGGCCGUCCCUGACACUG